This 73-nucleotide transfer RNA is filed under the name Bos taurus (domestic cattle). It matches the Rfam family "tRNA". From Rfam's summary of the family: Transfer RNA (tRNA) molecules are approximately 80 nucleotides in length. The record is from Rfam by way of RNAcentral. RNAcentral also lists the same sequence under 1 other name. Lineage: Eukaryota; Metazoa; Chordata; Mammalia; Artiodactyla; Bovidae.
UCCCUGGCAGUCCAGUGGUUAAGACUCUGCACUCCUGGUGCAGGGAGCACAGGUUCGAUCCCUGGUUGAGGAA